Molecule: transfer RNA, 80 nt
Filed under: Caudoviricetes sp.
Lineage: Duplodnaviria; Heunggongvirae; Uroviricota; Caudoviricetes
Description: tRNA-Tyr
Rfam family: tRNA
About the family: Transfer RNA (tRNA) molecules are approximately 80 nucleotides in length. Their secondary structure includes four short double-helical elements and three loops (D, anti-codon, and T loops).
Source: RNAcentral
GGGCAGGUAGCGAAUCGGCAAACGCGGCGGACUGUAAAUCCGUUCCUUCGGGGUAGUGGGCUCGACACCCACCCUGCCCA